This 391-nucleotide unclassified non-coding RNA is filed under the name soil metagenome. Its description in RNAcentral is "partial contains 5.8S ribosomal RNA, internal transcribed spacer 2, and large subunit ribosomal RNA". The stretch from base 1 to 122 matches the Rfam family "5.8S ribosomal RNA", at positions 35 to 154 of the family's 154-position model. The record is from RNAcentral.
GAUGAAGAACGUAGUGAAAUGCGAUACUUGGUGUGAAUUGCAGAAUCCCGUGAACCAUCGAGUCUUUGAACGCAAGUUGCGCCCGAAGCCAUUAGGCCGAGGGCACGCCUGCCUGGGCGUCACACGUCGUUGCCCCCCCAUCUACUCCUUCGGGAUUGCGGGGGGCGGAUGAUGGCCUCCCGUGCGCCUCGUCGCGCGGUUGGCAUAAAUGCCAAGUCCUCGGCGACGCACGCCACGACAAUCGGUGGUUGCGAAACCUCGGUUGCCCGUCGUGUGCGGUCGUCGCGCAUCGAGGGCUCGAAAAAAUUGUCGGGCUCCGGCUCGGCUUUCAACGCGACCCCAGGUCAGGCGGGGUUACCCGCUGAAUUUAAGCAUAUCAAUAAGCGGAGGA